This 265-nucleotide ribosomal RNA is filed under the name uncultured archaeon. RNAcentral's name for it is "partial 16S ribosomal RNA". It matches the Rfam family "Archaeal small subunit ribosomal RNA", at positions 719 to 982 of the family's 1478-position model. The record is from RNAcentral.
AGUCACUGACAUUAGAUACCCGGGUAGUCCCAGCCGUAAACAAUGUGCGUUUAGGUGUGUGGUAACCACGCGUUACUGAUGCGCCGAAGAGAAACCGUGAAACGUGCCGCCUGGGAAGUACGGUCGCAAGGCUGAAACUUAAAGGAAUUGGCGGGGGAGCACCACAACAGGUGGAGCCUGCGGUUUAAUUGGACUCAACGCCGGGAAGCUCACCGGAUAGGACAGCAGAAUGAUUGCCGGGCUGAAGACCCUGCAUGACUAGCUG